AUAGGAGAUCAGCUUCCCAACCAGAAGACGUGAUUGGGUGGAGAGAAUGCAGGAGACUCAGAAGAGUACCUAAAAGUUUAGCGCUCUGUGCUCUGGCACAGCUUCUGUUGUAAAGAGCACCUCCAGGUGUCUUUGAAAUUGUCUGUGCCUCUUUCCUUCCCGCUUCCCUCCUCCCAUGGAGGCCUUCAUGCUCUGACAGCCAGACUGACCAGAAGCAUCAGUCAUCAGAGAGGUGGAGGAAGAGCUGACCACAAACCUUCCCUGCUGUGCACCUUGGUUGCAGCUCUUUCACUCUUAAUUUGCUGCCUUUGGCUCUU
RNAcentral lists this long non-coding RNA (317 nucleotides) under Fukomys damarensis (Damara mole-rat). Its description in RNAcentral is "lncRNA (ENSFDAG00000032019.1)". Lineage: Eukaryota; Metazoa; Chordata; Mammalia; Rodentia; Bathyergidae. The record is from RNAcentral.